RNAcentral lists this long non-coding RNA (4750 nucleotides) under Orbicella faveolata. RNAcentral describes it as "uncharacterized LOC110066274". The record is from RNAcentral. Lineage: Eukaryota; Metazoa; Cnidaria; Anthozoa; Scleractinia; Merulinidae.
AGAGACCGGAGAACGGAGCUAAAUUUGAACUUAGUUUGCUAGUUCCUACGGGAAAUAAAUCAAUCAAAUCAACGAUGUUAGCCUCAAAAAUUCGUCGUUCAUGCUGCUCAGGCUAUCUACGUUCAUGUGCUGCAAGUAUUAACGAAAGGAACUUGGUGGACGCGUCGUCAAAGAGUUGAAAUCGUGUUCUCUGUCAAAGAGCGUGGGUAAGAGGCUUAUUAGAUGAUGUCCAGUUCUCAUGAUUAGUAUAGAGAACAGGCAGGAGGAUAGCUGUGAGCUUCCGAAUAAACCACAGAUUAAACAGACUGCGAGAUCACACAAUGUCAUUAGAGCUGGAACAAGUAUCUCAAUUAACCUGGACAGGAGAAAAUGGUUACAUUUUAAAAUUGCAGCUAAGUGUUCAGUUCUGUUUAAGGAAUAUUCUUUUGUUAAUUAGGAAAUGAUAAUUAGAUGCCCAGUAAGGCUGUCUUGAAUUGGCUUGCACAUGGGAGAACUGACAAAAUCUUCCCAGUCUAGAGUGUGUUGAAGAUUAGAUGUGAGUGUUUAAUACUCGUCAACAAUAGAUGAGCUUGGGGAAUGGUGCUUAAAAGGAUGGUGGAAGCCAUGAGCAAUCUGGACCAAGUGUGUAGGGUAUCCAUGUGACAACCCUGUGAGCGGCAACCACCAGGCACCAUCACACUGAACAAACAGUGGAACAAAAAUACUUACCACAUCCAUUCCAUGAGAAGAGGAGGGGUGCUGACCUGGGCAAAAAGCUCUAGGAGAACAGUCAGCAGCAAAAACAUGCAGAAUGACUUGACAUGUGAAGCCAAACUGUAAACUAUAAAGAGCCCAGGCACAAACUCACUUGCCACCCCACACACCAAUCCUAUUUGGGAGACUUCUGGCCAGCAAAAUUGUCUUGUGUUUAACAUAGCCUAGUAAAUUACAUUUAGCCACAUUUAAACUCGUCAACAAUAGAUGAGCUUGGGGAAUGGUGCCUUAAAGGAUAGUGGAGCCACAAGCAAUCCAAGCUAAGCACGAAGGGUAUCCAUGACAACUCAGUGUGAGUGGCAACCACCAGACCUUGCCCUCCUAGAUGCUUGGAGGGCAAAGGUCCGCAAAGAGGGGUGGAGGCGGAACCAAGGCCCACCAAACGUUCCAAACACCAGAUCCCAUGCCCUGACAAAAAGGAGCAGAAACCCAAUUAAACAAAGACAGAUACAUGCCAAGACAAAGAAACAACAUGAUGGUUUCUACAGGACUUAUUUGAUUGUAAAAUACUAAAAACUGGCUACAUUGUCAAUGCCCAGCAUGACAAAUGACAGCUCUAGGAACCACAGGGCUAUACCAAUCCAGGCAGCACUGACACAGACUGAGUCAUAUCCAAGAACUAAGUUUCUGAGAUGGCAUGAGCAAGCCACUCUCUAGCGGAGCACACUAAUGUGGUGACCCAGUUAAACCUAACCUCCGUACCAUGAAUGGAAGCACCUAGGAGGACAGAAUAACGAUACUCAACCAUUACUGAAUACAAAGCAGCUAGGUUGAGCAAUUAGGCCAUGCGAGGGCCCCACAGUCGCUGCAGAUCCUGCAGUGGGUCUAAACGAAGGAUCAUCGAGCAGCUGAAGAUGCGAACUGCAUGAACGAUAAGUAGGCAGUGCUUGUCUGAUACUCAGAGUUUCCAUUUCGUCGCCUGGAAUGCCAUUCCUUACAACUACUGUUGCUGCUCCAAUGUGAAACCUGUGGCUGGAAAACUUGCCUUGUAUGCCAAUUGAUGAUAAGAUGUCGUGCACCGACAAUGAUUGUAAUAUAACACGGGAUAAUGGAUGCCCAUUACAAAACAGGAACAAAGGGCCUAUGUGUAAGGAGCUGCCUUUAUGGAACGGAUCUGCUUUAGAAUCCUUUACCCUGAUCCAUAGACGUGAAGGGGAUGUGUUCAAAUCAGCUACAAUGCUGGCCACACCCAGGUUGAUAGCAGGUGAAAAACUAGCAAGAUUCGGGAUGGUAAUGUCGGCAGAGCAAAGAAAACUACAAAAACCCUAAAUUACAUGCUGCUCAUACAGUGUUCUGGAAGGCGCAAGUCCAAUGCACAAAAAUUGCCACCACAAUGUCUUUUAUAACUGGUAAGCGUAACAAAGAGGCAUUACCAUGAGUUCUUUUAAUUCCUCUAAGCACCGAUUGCAACCUCAAGCAUCAAAUAAGAGGAUCAGGAAAGCCCUGUUCGAUAUGCAAGAAGCAAACUGCCGACAGAUAAACCCUCAUGGUUGAAUGUCCACUCAUCCUUAGGGUAGGGUGAUCCAGAUUGAUGAAUCAUAUCGAGUUGUAUGCAGAGGUUGUAAAACAUCUUCAGGCCUGAGACAUAUAAGCUGCCCGUCAAUGAAGUUAGUCGUUGCGCCAAGAAAUCAUGACACUGGGCCUCUAAUGCAGAGGAAUCAAGAGCUCCCAAAGCUGGAACCAGGUGCAGUUGUGUGCCGAGGGCCAACUGCUUGAAUUCCUGCCAAUAAAAUCAGAAAAGAGCGUAAGUAAUGUUGUUAUGGAUACCAGGAAUAUGCCACACACUGAAAGUAAAAUUAAAGCAAACAGUUGCAGAAAGUAAAUGAUACAGAAACUGCACAAUACAUCGGAACUUAGAUGUCCUGGAGAUCAAGAUGUGUACCACUGUCUCAUUAUCUGACCAGAAAAAGUACAUGAUAUUGACACCACUGGGAACCCUACUGGUGCAAAGCUACCACUAUGGUGAAAAGCUCCUUACUGGCGAUGGAUCGAUGCGACUGCAGGGCACCCAUGCACCACUGAGUCACUCAGUAUUGAAGUAAACCCCAAAACCCAGCACGCCAUCAGCAACAGAAGUCAGUUUUUUGGUCAGGAGGCAGCAGACUGCUCUGGCCAGCACAUCCUCGAUGCCACCAAAUGAGUAGAUGAGACAAUAAGUAAGUAAGUAAGUAAGUAACUUUAUUAAUGAGGGUAAAAACACUUUACAGUCAUUGACUGAUAAACUCGUGGGAAAGGGAAAGCCAAGCAAGUGGCGAAAUCUUUAAAUUUGUGGCACAUUGAUCAGAGUCCGGGGGAUCCGCUAGAAUAAAGUCUUCAAGGUAAUGCACCAGGUGUGCAACAUCGUACCUAUUCAAAAUGAUCCAUUCCGCCAUAUCCACGAUGGAAUUAAAAAUGUAACGUACAUAGCAGAGAGCAAAGGGGAUGACCAAGUCGAAGAAGAACUGGCCAUGCCACUCCAUCCCUAAAAGAUAUGGAUCCUCCAGAUGAACUGCAAGAUUGCAAUGCAUGUCCUCCACAUCGAGCUUUGCCAUCAUAGCCACAGGCCCAUGCUUGGCAACCGUGCAAGGUCUGGUUGACCUUGAUAUAGUGCAUGGAAAACUGUCAGGAUUGGUCAUCAUUUACACUUGAGCCCCAACGAGGUGACAAAUCCAUGAUGAAGUGCCAUUUGCCAGGUUGACCUUUUGGGUGAUUACAUCAAAACUGCUUAUUUUUAAACUGGGCAAGGCAAUCAAUCAGGUUGGGCCUGCAACCCUAUAUCAUGAAACCUCGUUUCCCAGAUAAUCAUCAAUCAUCUUAUUCUUUUGGCUACCUGUAAUCUGCGAGCAGGGCGGAAUCCCAGAUGAAAACAAUUAUGAUACUGAAGGCCCCAGAGAACAUAAUAUCAUGCUGCCUGUUGAUUUGCAUUCCCAGCCAAGUCCCAAUUGAGUUCAGCAACAUGCAAAUGUGUGGGGAAGUCACCAACACUGUAUGAAAGACGGGACACCCCAAAAAAGAAAAAUUAACUAACUGGACCCAAAAGUCGCAAUAUAAUCGCUAAAAGCAAUUGGAAACAGAGUCACUUGAGACUAGACAAACGUGCCUAAGAGAGCAAAAAGGAAACAAGGCAUGGUGGCGAAUUUGUGGGGUAAGAGCUGCCAAAGACCUAAAGUCAAAUGUCUGUGAAGAUGACCCAGAGGCCCUUGGGGAAUGGUCACAAUGUUUGGAAUCAGCACUGCCAUCCUUGAAGGGCCAAGUGGUACACGAAGUUGCAUGGUGGGAGCCUGGACAUACAUUGCAACGAUGUGCAUAAUGGCAAGACACAAACAGAACCGUGGUAUGCCCAAUGAUGGCUGAAGACGAUCCUGGAGGCUCAAGAGAUUGAUGAACCAGCCACAAUUAUAGUAGAGCAAUCUGGAAGAUGAGUUGCGUCUGCAUGUUUGCAGAAAGAUUGAUCAUGAGCAAGCCAAACUCUUCAGGAAAAUGGGGGUAGGAGGUACAGGGAUCGGAAGUUGGCACUGCAUCAGAUCCUUCUAGCUGUGAGGAAAAUGAUGAACAAGAAUGAGGGAAAAAAUGGAAAAUUCCUCCAUCCACGAAUUAUGUCCUUGAUGUGCCAGCAUUGUUUCUUCAGCUGGGAACUCAACACAAGGUGGCCAUCCAGUAACAGCUGUGGUACUGGAUUUUUCUGCACCAAGUUAACUGCCAAUAAUGUACUCUGUUCAAUGUCUUUACCUGCGAUGAUCUUGUCCUGCAAGGGCAAAGCAAGCAGAAAGCACACAUAGGCAUAGAAUGAAUUGGUUGAUCAAUGUGAUAGUCCCCCUCCAGCAGCCAAAAAACCGAUGGUAGACCUGUAUAGCAAUGACAGUGUGCUGAUUUUAGAAGUGCCCCUGAACACACACUUGCCACAGGCACAGCGGAAGAAAUGGGAGGGUUUGCAAAGCCUGAUACCACAAGUGCUUGACAAUAGGCCCUUUGCAGCUGGGGUCACGUGACCAAAUUUUUCCUAAAAAAUAUUUAUAUU